CCUACGGGAGGCAGCAGUGGGGGAUAUUGCACAAUGGGGGGAACCCUGAUGCAGCGACGCCGCGUGUGGGAAGACGGUCCUCUGGAUUGUAAACCACUGUCCCCAGGGACGAAAAUGACGGUACCUGGGGAGGAAGCUCCGGCUAACUACGUGCCAGCAGCCGCGGUAAUAGGUAGGGAGCGAGGGUUGUCCGGAAUUACGGGGUGUAAAGGGAGCGUAGGCGGGGAUGAAGGUUGUGUGUAAAAACUACCGGCUCAACUGGUAGUCGCACUCAAAACUGCAGUUCUUGAGUGAAGUAGAGGCAGGCGGAAUUCCUAGUGUAGCGGUGAAAUGCGUAGAUAUCAGGAGGAACACCAGUGGCGAAGGCGGCCUGCUGGGCUUUUACUGACGCUGAGGCUCGAAAGUGUGGGGAGCAAACAGGAUUAGAUACCCUAGUAGUC
RNAcentral lists this ribosomal RNA (440 nucleotides) under uncultured bacterium. Its description in RNAcentral is "partial 16S ribosomal RNA". It matches the Rfam family "Bacterial small subunit ribosomal RNA", at positions 338 to 795 of the family's 1533-position model. The record is from RNAcentral.